GAACGCGGUAGGCAAAUUUGGUGGUGGUGGUAAAUAUAAAUAAAAGUGAUAAAUUACUCUUGGCAGUUUGCAUUUAUAUACUCUGAAAUAGCACUAAAGUUUACAAAAAUGUUAUACAGUCUUACGUCGUGAGAAUUUAAUUAUCAUUACGUUGUUGAUUUUGCUUUACAUUCAUGUAUUUUGAAGUAAUAGUCGUAUCUAGUCACGUAACUACGUAGUUACUUUAUCGAUAGGUUAUGUUUUGAUUCUGCAGAAGCGAUAAAAAUAGUGUUUACCGGUGACUAUUUUUCGAAAAGCAGUAAAAAUGAGUACUUCUCUCUCAAUUAUGUUGAGGAAGGGACAUAGGCUAUUAAAUAGAGGAGCUUCAAACUAUUUGUUUGGACGGAGCAUCAUCACUGAAACGUUGCCGCUUAGCGCAUCGGCAAAAUCCUCGGAAAGGACACACACUUGUAACGAACUGAGUCUGGCACUUGUUGGACAGCAAGUUGCACUGUGUGGUUGGAUGCAGCGAAAAGCAACACCACAGUUCUUGGCUUUUCACGAUGGAUACGGCCGAACUCAACUAGUCAUUCCUGAAAAUAACGUUGGGUUAUUGAAGAAACUUGAAAAUAUUCAUGACAGUUCAGUUGUUAUGAUAAAAGGAUUGGUUUGCAACUCUCAAGUACAUCAAGUUGGAUUGAAUAAUGGAUCAGCCGGAUUAGAAAUAGCCGUCAGUGAUGUAUCUGUGAUCGAUGAUGAUGCCCUGCAUCAUAAGUAUAAUGAAGAUAAUAACAACGAUGAAGAUGCUCCGACCACGCAGAAUCCGCAUGCACCCAUUUCAUUUCCUGGCGUGAAUAUUUACACUGAGCGAACACACACGUGCGGUGAACUGCGCGGCUCGGACGCGGGAGCUGAGGUUGUUCUCUGCGGAUGGCUGCAGUUUUUAAGAAUGAACAAAUUUGUCACCAUCCGCGAUAGCUAUGGUGUCACACAGAUAUUGAUACCCGAAGAGCUAGCAGAAGAGGCUCAACUUCUAGUAAAGGCUCCGAUGGAGAGUAUAAUUCGAGUUAAGGGUGUGGUUGCUACAAGACCACCUGCUGAGGUUUCUCCUAAAAUGGCGACGGGCGAAAUCGAAGUGAUCCUGAAAGAGGUGGCCGUUUUGAACGAGGCGAAAUGCAAGCUGCCCGUCCAGGUGCGCGAGUUCAACAGAGCAAAGGAGCACGUGCGUCUCAAACACCGCUACCUCGAUCUGCGCUCGCCCGCCAUGCAGAGGAAUCUGCGCAUGCGCAGUAAGAUGCUAAUGCGCAUGCGUGAGUUCCUAGUUGAUCAGCGGGAGUUUGUCGAGGUGGAGACGCCGACUUUGUUCAGGCGAACGCCAGGUGGCGCUAGGGAGUUUGUGGUGCCGACCCACUCUCAGGGCGAGUUCUUCUCAUUAGUGCAGUCACCACAGCAACUCAAACAGAUGUUGAUGGCUGGAGCUAUCGACCGAUAUUUUCAGGUGGCGAGAUGUUAUCGGGACGAGUCGACGAGGCCGGACCGUCAGCCGGAGUUCACCCAGCUCGACCUCGAGUUGUCGUUCACCGACCGCGAAUCGGUGCUUGCUCUCACAGAGGACGUUCUGCGAUUCGCCUGGCCCGACACGUUUGCGCCGCUCGUCACGCCGUUCCCACGCAUCACCCACCGUCAGGCCAUCGAUCUCUACGGCAGCGACAAGCCGGACACCUCAUUCGACAACUUCAUUCAGGAUUUCACUGAUCUCACCAAUCAUCAACCGAUUGUCCCGCGUCUCAAAUGCCGGGCUCUAGUCAUAUCAGAUGGUGCUAAAAACUACACUACUUCAGUACGAAACAAAUACGAAGCAUUCUCGCGUACCACCUACCCCGAUAUUAGAUUCCUCGCCAUAAAAAUCACCAACGAUUGGGAAACUGUUUUCAAGAAAGCUGUGCCCUCCUGUGAAGACCCGACUCUACUCCAGCAACGACUAAACUUCAAUGUGGGUGACCUAGUUUUCGUAGCCAUUGGGGACAUUGAUAGGGCGUCCACGUUGCUGGGCAAGUUACGCCUCGAGUUUGUGGAACCCAACUUGGAGGAAAGUUUCAACUUUUUGUGGGUGGUAGAUUUCCCCAUGUUUGAAGUCGACGGGGAGGGAAAGCUGGGUUCGGCGCAUCACCCCUUCACUCAACCCCACCCGGAGGACCUCCAUUUACUAGAUAGUGAUCCCCUGAAAGUGCGUAGUCUUUCCUACGACCUGGUGUUGAACGGCUGUGAGGUGGGCGGUGGAUCUAUACGUGUACACAAUUGUAAUCUACAGAAAUACAUAUUGAAAGAUCUUCUACGUGAAGAAACAGACCGCCUGCAACAUUUGUUGGAUGCCCUAGAGUCGGGAUGUCCGCCACACGGAGGGUUGGCGCUGGGAAUCGACAGGCUGAUGUCGAUUAUGACCGGGUCUGAGUCGAUUCGUGACGUCAUCGCGUUCCCGAAGGGCGUCGACUACAAGGAUCAUCUGUCGGGAGCUCCGUGUGACAUCUCGGCGGAGGAUCGCAAGUAUUAUCACUUACCUGAGGUGUCUGUGGCCGCUGAUAGUCAGCGGUUGGCUAAAAAAGUUGUGGAACAGUAGACUGUUCCAAGUUUCUUGUAAAAAAUCGGCCCAGAGUUGACGUAAUUAGGUCGAUUCAAAAGUUCAGUAUUUGUAAACGCUACUGCAGGCUAUAGAAGGUGCAAUCGACAUUUCAUAAAAACCUUGUUGAAUAGUAGACUGUUGAAGGUUGUAGUGAAAAGGUCGGUUCAGUAUUUCUAAACGCUACUCCAUGGUAGAGAGAGUUUAGGCACAAGAAUAAGGUCCCGAUCUGUAAACGCUACUGCAGGCUAUAGAAGGUGCAAUCGACAUUUCAUAAAAAACCUUGUUGAAUAGUAGACUGUUGAAGGUUGUAGUGAAAAGGUCGGUUCAGUAUUUCUAAACUCUACUCCAUGGUAGAGAGAAGUUAAUUCACAAGAACAAGGGCCCGAUUAAGCAGCCAAAUGUUUGAUCAUACAUUUACGCAUGAUUUUUAACCAACUUUUAUCAAAGGUUUGUUUCUCCAUUGAACCCGUGUUGAAUCGAUCAAAUUAUGUGUUUACUAUACACGAUAAAAUAUCAAUGAUCUGAUGUAUGGUAUGACCGUGUGAAGGGUUCCUAAGGUUGAAAUUGUAGCGGCAUAUGGAGAGUUUAGUGACUUAUAGCCUCCUAAUCAACCCAUGACCAUGGGAAGGGUCCCUAAGGUUGAAAUUGUAGCGGCGUAUGGGGAGUUUAGUGACUUUUACCCUCCCAAUCAACCCACCUACGUUAGCUUCUGUUCGAGUUGUACAGAGUAUUGUGAAGUUUCUUUUUGAAAAGUGAAUUUUUUUAAAUAAAAAAUUGAUCUGACUUACUUGAACAAUCACCAUUCUUUUGAGCAUUCAAGUUUAAUGUUUCUUUUUUUGUAUAAGAUUCAUUUCAUUUCAAGACUUCAGGCCUUUCCAACCAAGACCUAACCUUAUCAAGUAAUUUUGGAAAAGAAGCCUUAUAUAAAUGAAUUUCUAAUAAGGGUUUGUAUACACAAAUAUGUUUCUAAAACAAUCAAAUUCAUUGAUAUAGAAAUGUAAAUUGAAUAAAUACAGUGAAAUAAAAAUUCAAUAACGUGUAUUCUUUAUUGAUUCAUACAAUAAGUACAUCAUCAAAAUGAUAGGGAGAGAAAAAAUGAGAUAACCUUGUGCUAUUCCUCUCCCAAAUUUAGAUAAGGUUACUCAUAGUCCGAAAUUAAGUCUUAUAAAUAGAAAUAAAAAUCUCAAGUGAUAUCACUUGAAAAUGGCAUGAGUAUUGAAACAAGUUGUGAUGAAAUAAUUCAAAAAAGGGUACUGAGAUUUUUAUUUAUAUUUAUAUUACAAGAGUAGCCCUAAACAGAAAAGAGGUAGUGUUCACUUCACAAAAUUUUCGGUUCUUAAUUAUUUUCACAAAGUAGAUAAUAAUCAAUAAUUUUCAAUCGGUAACAUACAUUCAAAAAUGCAUAAUUUACGCUAGAAUGUAUUAGUCCUGUAUAGAUGCUGUACCAAAAUACAGAUUCUCAAUGUUGUAUUGUAUGUUACCAAUAUUCACAAUCCUCUGUACAAAACAUUAUAUUAAUACAAUGUGACUUAUUGUGCAAUAUUAUUCCCGAUGUACCUUCUUAGGUACAAUAAUAAUUAUGUAAUUUUGUAGGAUAGAAUAACUAUAAACUAUUUGACAAUAACGUUCCUCUGUCAGGCCAGUUUUUAUGUAUUGUCUUGUCUAGUAAUUGCAUAGAUUGCUAUGUUGUUAAAGACAGAUUAUUCAAAUUAUCCCUCCUUUUAUUGUAUAAUCAUUGAUGAUCAGGUUCUCAUUUACUUUUAUCUAUCAUCCUUUUCAUCUCAUAUUUUGUAAGCAUUACAAAAAUUUGUGACAAAAUGCUUAAACAUUUCAUGACAUUAUUAAUGCAACUAUAUAAUAUGAAAUACAUUAAUAUGUUAGCAGAAGUACUCUGAAUUCCUUUGAGCUAGAAGAUUGGUGCAAUGUUUAGCCCAUAACUUUCAAACAUAAUUAGAGUACUUUCUGUAAAAAAUAGGUUACAAUUUUACAUUAUUAUCUCAUUGUAUAAUGUAAUAAUAGAACAAGCAAAGAAAAGUACAGUACCGUCAAACCGGCUAACUUGGGACAGUAGUCUAACUUGGGACAGUAGUCUAAAUUGGGACAAUUAAGCCUUUUCCCUCCAAUUCCAACUUACCAGCUGUCUGUGCAAUUCAUUCCGAGUUCUGGCAUUGUUGAUUUGUUGGGAACAAAUCAUUGAAAAUAUGUUUUGAACAUUUAAUUAACAGCUAAGAUACUUUUUUAACAGUAAUAACAAUCUACUAUUUCUAACCCAGAAAUUGAACCUUUAAUAACUUCUAUUGUGAACACUCAAUUAUUUUAUCAAUAAUUCAAUUAUUUCACAGUUGAAGUAUUUUUAUUAUGAAUAUGAAACCUAUUAUUCAAAAUCUAAUGUCGCAAGUUAGCCUUCAACCACUCAAUUGUCUCAUUACAGGCAAAUCAUAAUGGUGUCUCAAGUUACCCAACCUUUGCGGGUAACUUGGGACACCAUAUUUUUUUAUUUUUUUCAGAGCAGGUUGGAAUAAUAAUGAAAUUGAAUGUAUAUAAUUGAAGUAUUAUUGAAGAUCUAAGUUUUGAGCACAGGAGAAAUAAACUAUUAUAAUAAUAAUGGAAUUGAAUUCCAAGUCAAAGUUGAAAACUGUCCCAAGUUAGACUACUGUCCCAAGUUAGCCGGUUUGACGGUAACAUAUUAUUUUCUUGUUCAUACUUUCAAGUACCUAAUACCGUAUAAUUGAAAAAUUUAUCUUCAUGAAAAAUUUCCAUGAUCUAAUGUGUCUAUCUAGAAUCUCUUCCAUCCAUAACAAUUUAAUCCAUUUUCAUAGUUAGCAUUAGACUACACAUUGUUCUUAUUUAUCCAUUUUUGAAAAUAAUAGAUAUUAAACAAUGUACUGCAUUUUUGGUAAUUUACUUCGACAUAUGGUGCACUUGUGGUCAUGAAAAACCAACAGAAUCAUCAUUAUUAUACAAAUAACAAAUACAAGUUCAAUUAUUAUAAUUCUUAAUGUUUUGUUUGUGAUAUAAUAUCAGGCCUAAUUAUACACUUGUAUAUUGCAGAAUUUUUGGCGUAUUGCAGUACAUAGUAAUAAAAAAAUUAAGUCAUCAAUAUUGAUUACCCUAAUUCAAUUUUAUAGCAUUGAUUACAAAUAUUUCAUCACAAUAUUAUAUUCCAUAUCAAUAAAAUAAUGAUAAACUUAUAUAAUAUCAAUAUUGCAUAGGCUCAUUCAGAUUGAUAAAACAAAAAGACAAAAAAAAUAUUUUUAGAAAGUUAUUUCUAAAAGUUAGUUUUGGGAUAGUUGUAGAGAUUGGAUGAUAUUUUUGGUAUUUUCAAUGAGUGAUAGAUAAUAUAGUCAAUAAUUUGGGAUUACAUUUGGAUUUGAG
RNAcentral lists this unclassified non-coding RNA (5974 nucleotides) under Nilaparvata lugens (brown planthopper). Its description in RNAcentral is "aspartate--tRNA ligase, mitochondrial, transcript variant X2". Lineage: Eukaryota; Metazoa; Arthropoda; Insecta; Hemiptera; Delphacidae. The record is from RNAcentral.